CUGGUAUUCAGAAUUGGUCUUGCUGUCUCUCCUAUUGCUGGAGACAGGGUUGGAAGCAAUCAGCUUCUGUCUUCAUCUUCUUCAGUUCAAUUUUCUUCUUUAGCAGGUAUUAUCUUCUGUUUCUGUUGCAUCUGUUCUGGAUGUCUCUGAUCCACCAUGACCUCCAGUUGACUGAUCCAUAGUCUACAUAUCCAUUCUUCCAAUGGACCAUGAAAUUGAAUUGGGACCUGUGCUGUAAGAAAUCGCCCAGAAAGUCACAGGAGACUGGCACACACCCUCUAAUGAGAAAACAUUUCACAAGCAACAAAAACCACGGUCAAAAAUAAUCAGAGAGUUGAUGAUGGAAAGAAACCUAAAGGAGCAUAAUCCAAAAAGCGGAAAAAGUUAAUCCUCUCCAUCCACCCAGGAUUAGCCUGCCCAUCCAACAGAUCCAUGACUUUGAUAUUAGCUCUCUGGAAGCAUUAAAUUAAUUGUGAAAUUUUUUUCCUAAGGAGAAAGGAUGAAUAUUUGUUUUAAAAAUAAAACAAAAUUAAGACUAUAUACAGUCGGAAGAAGACAGAAAUGGUAGAAGAAAGAAGAAAAUGAAGAGCAGAAGCAGAGGAGAAGUAGAAGGAGAAGGAAGGGAAGAAGGGGAAGGAGAAGAAGAAGAAAUGUAGAAAUGGCAAUUACAUAAAAUCAAAAAUUUUUUUUGAAUUUCAUUUUCAUCCUCUAAAUUCUUACUCAUAACCAUUUAUCUCUCCAAAUGGCAUUUAAAAAUCAGGAUAAAAGUUGGUACUAUAUUUAUUGAUUUUUUAUAUCAAUAAUCACCUCUAAUUAGGGUUUUUCCUUUGAGUUUCUAAACAAAGAUAAAAAUUAUAAUUGUUUAAAAGUACUACUUCAUCUUCAAUCCAGUAGAGGCCAUUCCAUAUAUUGAGUAAAUUUCAAUAGCACAUACAUAGCAUCUGUACAUACACUUGAAGAUUACAUGAAAUAAUAUACACACAUAAGAACAAUUAAGCACCCACUGUAUAUAUGAGAAAUGAAAAUGGGCUGGGUGAGGAAAAGCUUCCAGAAGUAAGAAAACUCAACCUGGAUUCAUACACAAAGAGACAUGUAAAGCUUGAUGACUGUCUUCAGUACUUCUAGUUUUUGUGCUAAUAAUGUAAAUGUUUUAAAACAGUAUCACAUAGGGGGCACCUGGGUGGCUCAGUCUGUUAAACAUCUGACUCUUGGUUUCGGCUCAGGUCACGAUCUCACAGUUUCAUG
Felis catus (domestic cat) is the source of this 1245-nucleotide long non-coding RNA. RefSeq lists it as uncharacterized. The transcript is spliced from 4 exons. NCBI's taxonomy places the organism in Eukaryota, Metazoa, Chordata, Mammalia, Carnivora, Felidae. The record is from RefSeq and is a predicted model, not a curated record.